UACGUAGGUGACAAGCGUUGUCCGGAUUUACUGGGCGUAAAGAGCGCGCAGGCGGUCGAUCAAGUCGAGUGUGAAAGCCCCCGGCUCAACUGGGGAGGGUCAUUCGAUACUGAUCGACUCGAAGGCAGGAGAGGGUAGUGGAAUUCCCGGUGUAGUGGUGAAAUGCGUAGAUAUCGGAGGAACACCAGUGGCGAAGGCGACUUCCUGGCCUGUUCUUGACGCUGAGGCGCGAAAGCUAGGGGAGCAAACGGG
Molecule: ribosomal RNA, 252 nt
Filed under: uncultured bacterium
Lineage: Bacteria
Description: partial 16S ribosomal RNA
Rfam family: Bacterial small subunit ribosomal RNA
Source: RNAcentral